Molecule: ribosomal RNA, 291 nt
Filed under: uncultured Methanogenium sp.
Lineage: Archaea; Methanobacteriati; Methanobacteriota; Methanomicrobia; Methanomicrobiales; Methanomicrobiaceae
Description: partial 16S ribosomal RNA
Rfam family: Archaeal small subunit ribosomal RNA
Source: RNAcentral
AAACCAUUAUAAUACAAAUAGAAAGGAAACUCGCGAUAAGGGAACCCCGAGUGCCCGUAUACGCCUUUUUUAAGCAGGGGUCUAAAAAGCAUCUGAAGAAAGGGCCGGGCAAGACCGGGGCCAGCCGCCGCGGUAAUACCGGCGGCUCGAGUGGUGGCCACUAUUAUUGGGUUUAAAGCGUCCGUAGCUGGAUUUUUAAGGCUCUUGGAAAAUCCGCCGGCUUAACCGGCGGGGGUGUAAGAGAUACUGCGAAUCUGGGGACCGGGAGGGGUGAGAGGUACUCCGGAGGUA